ACCCGCUGAAUUUAAGCAUAUUAAUAAGCGGAGGAAAAGAAACUAACAAGGAUUCCCCUAGUAACGGCGAGUGAAACGGGAUCAGCGCAAAUUUGAAAUCUGGGUCUUAUUUUUUGAGACUCCGAGUUGUAAUUUAUGGAGUGUACAUCACAGUUAUUUCUUCAAUCUUCAAAUGUUUUUGGAACAAUCUGCCAGAGAGGGUGAUAGCCCCGUUUGUAGGAUUGACUAUUUUGAAAUAACAACAUGUGUUGUACUCUUUAAGAGUCGGGUUGCUUGGGAUUGCAGCCUAAAAUGCGUGGUAAAUCUCACGUAACGCUAAAUAUUGACGAGAGACCGAUAGCGAACAAGUAGUGUGAACGAAAGAAGAAAAGAACUUUGAAAAGAGAGUGAAAAGUCCUUGAAAUUGUUAAAAGGGAAGCGCUUAAAACCAGUCUUUGAUUGCUUAUUAUUUCAAUAAGUGUCCUUGUCUCUGUUCCAUUGUUUUUUUCGAAAACUAUGUCACUCAGAGGCUGAGGAUAGGUUAAUAUCAAUUUAUUAUGAAGGAAAAGUCUAUUGAAGAAGGUAGGAUUGGCUUCUUGUUUAUUCAAGUUCUGAUCUUCAAGACUUUGAUAGGUGCUACUUGAUGAUAGAUUGAGGAAUAUCAUAGUAGUUUUCUUUUAUUUUCUCUUGUAUGUUGUGAAAUGUAGUACUAGGACAAAUCCUUCUACUAUAUUGAUCAAUGUGGAAACAAGAAGAUAGAAGAAGCUAAUUGUGAGGAUAUUAACACAAUGGUUUUAAUCGACCCGUCUUGAAACACGGACCAAGGAGUCUAACAAAUAUGCAAGUAUGAAGGUGACAAAUAGUCUUAUGUAAACCUUUGGAUGCUUAAUGAAAGUAAAGACAAUUCAUUUUAUGAAUUGUUCAAGUGGGAUCUUGUAUCAUUACUUUAAUGAUAUAAAGAGCACCAUUGACCGAUCAGGAUAGAAGAGAUGGCUUGCUAUCUCUUUUGAAAGAUUUGAGUAAGAGCAUAUCUGUUGGGACCCGAAAGAUGGUGAACUAUGGGUGAGUAGGGUGAAGUCAGAGGAAACUCUGAUGGAGGCUCGAAGCGAUGCUGACGUGCAAAUCGCUCGUCAAACUUGCCUAUAGGGGCGAAAGACUAAUCGAACCAUCUAGUAGCUGGUUCCCUCCGAAGUUUCCCUCAGGAUAGCAGGAGUUAUGUAAUAAACAGUUAUGUCUGGUAAAGCGAAUGAUUAGAGGUCCUGGGGAAGAAACUUCCUCAACCUAUUCUCAAACUUUAAAUAGGCAUGAUAUUCUUGUUGCUUUAAUUUUUUAUGAACAAGAAUUUCUGAAUGGCAAACUCCUAGUGGGCCAUUCCUGGUAAGCAGGACUGGCGAUGUGGGAUGAACCAAACGUUGAGUUAAAGUGCCAGAAUGUACACUCAUAUAGAUACCAGAAAAGGUGUUGGUUGAUACAGACAGAAGGACGGUGGCCAUGGAAGUUGGAAUCCGCUAAGGAGUGUGUAACAACUCACCUUCCGAAUCAACUAGCCCUGAAAAUGGAUGGCGCUAAAGUGUACUACUUAUACUCAACCUUCUUUACAAUAUCAUUAUUUUUAUGUAAAGAAGAGUAGGAGGGCGUGGAGUUUCUGUAGAAGUCUAUGAGCGUGAGCUUGGAUGGAAGAAACUCUAGUGCAGAUCUUGGUGGUAG
Molecule: ribosomal RNA, 1686 nt
Filed under: Paramoeba perurans
Lineage: Eukaryota; Discosea; Flabellinia; Dactylopodida; Paramoebidae
Description: eukaryotic LSU rRNA
Rfam family: Eukaryotic large subunit ribosomal RNA
Source: RNAcentral